UGUCUAGUUGCACCUUAGAGACCAACUAAGUUUGUUCGGGUAAAAGCUUUUGUGUGCAUGCACACUUCUUCAGCUUAUAUCCAGAACAAACUUAGUUUGUCUCUAAGGUGCUACUGGACA
Molecule: microRNA precursor, 120 nt
Filed under: Podarcis lilfordi (Lilford's wall lizard)
Lineage: Eukaryota; Metazoa; Chordata; Lepidosauria; Squamata; Lacertidae
Source: RNAcentral